This 98-nucleotide small nuclear RNA is filed under the name Loxodonta africana (African savanna elephant). Lineage: Eukaryota; Metazoa; Chordata; Mammalia; Proboscidea; Elephantidae. The record is from RNAcentral.
GUGCUUGCUUUGGUGGCACGUAUACUAAAAUUGGAACCAUACAGAGAAGAUUAGCAUGGUCUUGUGCAAGGAUGACAUAAUAUAUAUAAAAUAUAUAU